This 88-nucleotide transfer RNA is filed under the name Elusimicrobiota bacterium. RNAcentral describes it as "Elusimicrobia bacterium (groundwater metagenome) tRNA-Leu". It matches the Rfam family "tRNA". Rfam says of the family: Transfer RNA (tRNA) molecules are approximately 80 nucleotides in length. The record is from RNAcentral. Lineage: Bacteria; Pseudomonadati; Elusimicrobiota.
GCCGGCGUGGCGGAAUUGGCAGACGCACGCGACUCAAAAUCGCGCGGAGCUUUGCUCCUUGUGGGUUCAAGUCCCUCCGCCGGCACCC